This 497-nucleotide ribosomal RNA is filed under the name uncultured bacterium. Its description in RNAcentral is "partial 16S ribosomal RNA". It matches the Rfam family "Bacterial small subunit ribosomal RNA", at positions 28 to 507 of the family's 1533-position model. The record is from RNAcentral.
GACGAACGCUGGCGGCGUGCCUAAUACAUGCAAGUUGAGCGAUGAAGAUUGGUGCUUGCCCCAAUUUGAAGAGCAGCGAACGGGUGAGUAACGCGUGGGGAAUCUGCCUUUGAGCGGGGGACAACAUUUGGAAACGAAUGCUAAUACCGCAUAACAACUUUAAACAUAAGUUUUAAGUUUGAAAGAUGCAAUUGCAUCACUCAAAGAUGAUCCCGCGUUGUAUUAGCUAGUUGGUGAGGUAAAGGCUCACCAAGGCGAUGAUACAUAGCCGACCUGAGAGGGGGAUCGGCCACAGUGGGACUGAGACACGGCCCAAACUCCUACGGGAGGCAGCAGUAGGGAAUCUUCGGCAAUGGACGAAAGUCUGACCGAGCAACGCCGCGUGAGUGAAGAAGGGUGUCGGAUCGUAAAACUCUGUUGGUAGAGAAGAACGUUGGUGAGAGUGGAAAGCUCAUCAAGUGACGGUAACUACCCAGAAAGGGACGGCUAACUACGUG